CUUUAACAUUGGGAUUCUGGCCCCCUUAAAGGGGUUAAAAGGGAAGUCCGGUGAAAAUCCGGCGCUGCCCCGCAACUGUGAUCCCGUAAAAUAAAACUUCAGCAAUGCGCUUAAUACAGCGCUAAAGCCACUGUUCCCUAAAUGGGAAUGGGAAGGCAAGCUGAAGUUUCGGGAAAGCCAGGAGACCUGCCAGAAUCCACGGGAAUCC
RNAcentral lists this non-coding RNA (208 nucleotides) under Candidatus Kryptonium thompsonii. Lineage: Bacteria; Pseudomonadati; Candidatus Kryptoniota. The record is from RNAcentral.